RNAcentral lists this transfer RNA (76 nucleotides) under Deltaproteobacteria bacterium. RNAcentral's name for it is "tRNA-Asn". It matches the Rfam family "tRNA". From Rfam's summary of the family: Transfer RNA (tRNA) molecules are approximately 80 nucleotides in length. Their secondary structure includes four short double-helical elements and three loops (D, anti-codon, and T loops). Lineage: Bacteria; Pseudomonadati; Myxococcota; Myxococcia. The record is from RNAcentral.
UCCGGUGUAGCUCAGUUGGUAGAGCACCUGGCUGUUAACCAGGGCGUCGCAGGUUCGAGCCCUGCCGCCGGAGCCA